GCCUAAUACAUGCAAGUCGAGCGAAUGACGAGAAGCUUGCUUCUCUGAUUUAGGGGCGGAGGGGGGAGUAACACGUGGGCAACCUGCCCUACAGAUCGGGAUAACUCAAGGAAACCUGGCCUAAUACCGGAUAAUCCUUCGAAUCACAUGUUUUGAAGGUGAAAGGCGCUUCGGGGUCACUGUAGGAUGGGCCCGCGGUGCAUUAGCUAGUUGGAGGGAUAACGGCCUACCAAGGAAACGAUGCAUAGGCGACCUGAGAGGGUGAUCGCCCACAUUGGGACUGAGACACGGCCCAAACUCCUACGGGAGGNAGCAGUAGGGAAUCUUCCACAAUGGACGAAAGUCUGAUGGAGCAACGCCGCGUGAGUGAUGAAGGUUUUCGGAUCNUAAAACUCUGAUGUAAGGGAAGAAUAAGUACGUUAGGAAAUGAACGUACCUUGACGGNACCUUAUUAGAAAGCCACGCCUAACUACGUGCCANNAGCCGCG
RNAcentral lists this ribosomal RNA (488 nucleotides) under uncultured bacterium. Its description in RNAcentral is "bacterial SSU rRNA". It matches the Rfam family "Bacterial small subunit ribosomal RNA", at positions 46 to 519 of the family's 1533-position model. The record is from RNAcentral.